AUUAGUCUAUCCCGACUAGGAUGAACUUUUGUUGUUUCGAUGAGGUCGGUCGAAUCUCACCAAUGACAUCUAACGCCCACCUGUCGCAUCUCGAAAAAUACGAUUCCUCACGAUGGACGCGGAAAAAAUUAUGUUCGAACAGAGUCGCCAUCGAACUUUAUUUAUCCUAAUGAAAGAAUAGGAAAAUAUCGAUAAAACCUUUGAAA
This 206-nucleotide long non-coding RNA is filed under the name Lathyrus oleraceus (garden pea). RNAcentral's name for it is "Pisum sativum (pea) long non-coding RNA (PSAT_LNC026537)". Lineage: Eukaryota; Viridiplantae; Streptophyta; Magnoliopsida; Fabales; Fabaceae. The record is from RNAcentral.